RNAcentral lists this ribosomal RNA (497 nucleotides) under uncultured bacterium. Its description in RNAcentral is "partial 16S ribosomal RNA". It matches the Rfam family "Bacterial small subunit ribosomal RNA", at positions 28 to 507 of the family's 1533-position model. The record is from RNAcentral.
GAUGAACGCUGGCGGCGUGCCUAACACAUGCAAGUCGAGCGAACGGACGAUAAGCUUGCUUCCCUGCUGUUAGCGGCUGACUGGUGAGUAACACUUGGAUAACCUUCCUAUAAGACUGGGAUAACUUCGGGAAACCGGUGCCAAUACCGGCUAAUAUUUUCAACCGCAUGGCUCAAACGUGCAUCAUGUUCUUUCUGUUACUUAUAGAUGGAUCCGCGCUGCAUUAGCUAGUUGGUAAGGUAACGGCUUACCAAGGCAACGAUGCAUAGCCGACCUGAGAGGGUGAUCGGCCACACUGGAACUGAGACACGGUCAAGAAUCCUACGGGAGGCAGCAGUGGGGAAUCUUGCGCAAUGGGGGAAAACCUGAAAGAGCAACAACGCGAGAGUGAUGAAGGGCUUCGGAUCGAAAAGCUCUGUUGUUAGGGAAGAAAAGAUGGGUGAGAAUCUGAACAUGUGAUGACGGUACCUAAACAGUAAGCCGCGGAUAACUACGUG